CUGAAAAUAUUAGUUAAUUAUUGAAUAGUGUAAUUUCUCUGUUCGGCCUCAAACACGUCAGAUGUUUUUAAACCAUGUUUGUUUCUAAAAGUGGCUCUGAGUUUGUCUCAUCACCAGAUUCCCGUCUGUUAGCACCAUGUUAAGUCAUCUCUCCAUGUUUUGGCCGCGAUCUGCGUCGGUUCCGCUCCGACGGCCUGCGGGCCGACGCGGAUAAAGCGCUGCGUCUUUACGGCGGCGGGAGGAUUGGGAGGUUUCCGACCGGAUCCCAUUUGUGUGAAGCUAUUAGCGCCGAGCAGCUCUCAGCUCCGCCUGAUACGCCUCUGAGAUUAGGAAAUGGUAUUACAGUAAGAGGAUCGGCCGCCUGGAGGUGAGGAACACACAGCGAGGCUGACGGGACCGGAAACCGCUGCAGCAGAAACGAUCCAACAAGGAAUGAAGUGGGUUCUGCUUCCUGUAGUUCCUGCCUCAGCUGUUUGGUGUUGCUAAUCAGAGUUCGGUUCCGUUCGGAUGUUUUCCUGCUCUGGUUCCUGCAGCGUUUCAGUUUUUUCCCUUCAUUCUCUUUUUUCUCUCCUUCCUCCCUCCCUAACCGUGACCUCUGACCUUUCCUGACUCCAUCAGACGUGUGGAUCUCCACCGAUCGGCUCCGCGGUGCGCUGAACGCCGCGGGCCGGAGGAGGCCGCUCUUCCUGCAGCCGCCUGGUGGGAAUCUUUCAUCCCGCCUGCGCGAGAUGCCCUUCAGAGGGACCCGCCGGCUGUUUGGAUGCUGGCCAAGGUUGCCAUGGAAACGCCGAGACGACGACGACGACAAGGGGGGCAGCAGGAAAAGCCUGUGAUGGAGAAACAGCUCACUGACUCCCAGUUAGAAAACACGACUUCAACUCAGAGACAAAAGGAACAAUGGGGCAUUUGAAUGCUAAUGCUAAUGCUAACAUAUUUCAUGCUAAUUGUUGUUUUCUAGUGAAAACUAAAUGAUUGAAGCUACAAACUUGCUGAGUUUCUCUUUUCUGUCCAGCAGCAGCGUCAGGACGGAGCUGCUGACCUCAGAGCAGCGACUGGAACCUGCUCACAUCAACAGGAUGUAGAAACAUGGAGAUUCUGUCGUUCCCUCUCUUCCAUGUCAGAAGCAUUUUGCCGGGUGAUUAAUUGCCGCAGCGAGCGUUCGAGCCCCGCGGUCGCCCCACGGGCAUCGCCACGAUCCGUGCACCUGCCACUCGAAUCCGCUGACCCCCCACCACACACACACACACACACACGCACACACACACACACACACACACACACACACACACACACACACACACACACACACACACACAUCCUCUGAAAAAUGUCUGAUACUGACUGGAUGCGCGAAGUUGGAGUAAAUCUCUGAAAUUCCUCCUGACUGAGUCUGAUGAGGUUAGUGGAGUAAUUAUUAGCAGUCAGUAUGUUACUGGCAGCAGUGAGUUCCUGUAAAGACUAACGAGGAUCCAGAACCGAACCGGAUCUUGAAGUACGACGGCGUGUUAGGGCCACGCUAAGAAAUAAAAAAUAAAUAAAUUAUGAGAAUAAAGUCAUAAACUUACAGCAGUAACAUCAUAAAAUUAUGCAACUAGUCGUAUUAUUACAAGAAUAAACUUGUACGGGGAUAAAGUACGACUUUAUUUCUUAAAUAUUAACGCCUCAAAAUACUACAGCUUUAUUCUCACGGUAUGACUUCUUGUAGGACUUUGUUGCCUUAUUCUGACAUUCUCAAAACUUUAUUCUCGUAAAAAAAAAGUUUUUUUCUAGAGAUUAAUCUCAGAAUUUC
Molecule: non-coding RNA, 1789 nt
Organism: Poecilia reticulata (guppy)
Lineage: Eukaryota; Metazoa; Chordata; Actinopteri; Cyprinodontiformes; Poeciliidae
Source: RefSeq, a predicted model, not a curated record